UGUUUGGACCUCACUUCGAGCGGUAUUCAACGACUAUCUCAACCGAUAUACAUACCAACCGAGUUGAUAUGUUGUUUGAAUGCCCCUUGAACUCGAGGCCCCUAGUAAAACCUCAG
RNAcentral lists this microRNA precursor (116 nucleotides) under Caenorhabditis sp. 23 AD-2012. Its description in RNAcentral is "mir-90". The stretch from base 12 to 94 matches the Rfam family "mir-90 microRNA precursor family". Lineage: Eukaryota; Metazoa; Nematoda; Chromadorea; Rhabditida; Rhabditidae. The record is from RNAcentral.